AUGGCGUCUGACGGUGAAGACGUUAUUGCAGUUGUCACAGUUCAAUGUUCUUAAUCUGUGCCUCCAUGUACACAUAUAUGUCCUUUAUUACACUCUAGUAAAUAGAGUAAACAUCGUUAAUAACUGUUUGCAUCCGGUUAUAUUAGUCUGAGCGCACUUUGAUGCUUCUCGAGCUAGCUUAGCCUGCUAGUUAGCUUAGCUUGUUAGCUGCUAACAAAGAGAGGCGGAAGUGAUCAAACACAUCACUAAGUAGAGAUCAAGUGUGAGUGUAAAGUGUUGUGAUUGUGUGAAAAUGUGCCAAAGAACCACAGCAGAGUACGAGGAGGAACUUUGUCCAACAAAAGAGGAGAAGGAGCGACAACAUGAAAAACAUCAAGUUGUGUUGCACAGAACAGGUUUACACAAAACUCACACAGUCACCGGGGGAAUAUUCCAGAGAGCAGGUUAAGUGCAAAGUCCUGAGUAUGUAAAGCUCGAGAGUUUUACCUCCAAAAAUAAGAGAGACAUCCAUCAGCUGAUUGGACACCAAGAAGAAUGUCUCCCUCAUCUGCAGGGGGACAGUUUCACUGUAAAGUAUCCACAGCCCUCACAUUUUAAAGGGGACAAAGAUGAGCCACAGCCCUCUUAUUUCAAAGAGGAAGAGGAGGAAGAGUGUCCUGUAGGGCAGGAGGAGGCUGAUGUCAGCAAGUUUCCACUGACUGUUGUCUCUGUGAAGACUGAAGAGCAUGAAGACAAACCACCUGAGUCCUCACAGCUUCAUCACAGUCCAAACAUCUGUGAAGAACAUCUUCACCCUGAGCAACAGAAGUGGAGCUUCAGGAUGCGAACGGAGGAGCCACAGCCCUUCCACAUUAAGAAGGAAGAGGAAUACCUACUGACCCCCAUUUUUAAAGAGGAAGAGGAGGACCCACAGACACCCCAUUUUAAAAAGGAAGUGGUGGAUCCACUGAGCCCUCACAUUAAAGAGGAAGAGGAAGAACACAGCAUCAAUCAGCAGGGAGAGCAUCUUGAAGGACUGGAGGAGGUUGAUGUCACCAAGAUGCCAGUGACUGGUGUCCCUGUGAAGAGUGAAGAUGAUGAGGUGAAAGGUGAAAGUGAGGAGAGGGGAGGGGGGGAGCCUCCAAGCAGCAGCUCAACACAACACAUGACAACAGAAGCUGAUGGAGACCACUGUGGAGGAUCACAAGCAGACAAGCUCUUAGCUCCACUAUCAGAUAGUGAGGACACAACGUCACACUCUCCUGACACUGAUGAUGAAGACUCUAAAGAUGAUAAGACAUGUCACACUGACAACACUCACUUCACAUCUUCUCUCUGUCACAAAACCUUUAAAUAUCCUAGUAAAUUGAAAAGACACAUGAGAACACACACUGGAGAAAAACCUUUUUCAUGUUCAAACUGCGGUAAACAUUUUACUCAGAUUUAAAAGUACACAUGAGAACACACACUGGAGAAAAACCUUUUUCAUGUUCAAUCUGUGGUAAAGGUUUUACAGAAAGUCAUAAUUUGAAAAGACACAAGAGAACACACACUGGAGAAAAACCUUUUUCCUGUUCGACCUGUGGUAAAGGUUUUACAGAAAGUCAGAAUGUGAAAGUACACAUGAGAACACACACUGGUGAAAAAACUUUUUCCUGUUCAAUAUGUGGUAAAGGUUUUACACAAAGUCAGAGUUUGAAAGUACACAAGAGAACACACUGGUGAAAAAACUUUUCCCUGUUCAAUCUGUGGUAAAGGUUUUACACAAAGUCAACAUUUGAAAGUACACAUGAGAAGACACGCUAGUGAAAAACCUUUUUCUUGUUCAAUCUGUGGUAAAGGUUUUACACAAAGUCAACAUUUGAAAAGACACACUAGAACACACACUGGAGAAAAAUCACAUUCCUGUUCAAUCUGCAACAGAAGCUUUUGUCAACAAUCAAAGCUUGUAGCACACAUGAGAAGACACCCAGGAGAGAAAGUGUUGAGUUGCAGUGUGUGUGGUGAAAGAUUGUCUUCUAAGUACCAGUGUAAGAAACACAAGUGUGCUGGUGAGAACAGCAGCAGCAAAUGAAACUGCAGGAUUUGAAAUAAACUGUCCAGACUUUCAUUUUGACUUUCUAACAACAUCAGCACAUAUAACAUGUGUGACAUUGUUGUUUGUUUAACAAUCUGGUUAAUAUGCUUCUGCAUUUAUAGAUUAAGAUAGUUUGAAAUAUGAAAGUAUUACAUAUUUGUAUUUGUAAUUGUUGAUAACCCCAUAGAUUAUCACCUUUAUAUGAUAUACAUAUGUACUGGUUCACAUCUGGAACAUCUUCUGGACCACUUCAGGAAGCAUAUUAUUAUUUACUUUAUACAUCAUUUAAACAGUUGUCUUUUAUACAAUUUUAAAAUGUCUGACCUUAUGAAUCAUUUGUUGGGUCUCUUUAAUUAUCGUUAUUACUCUGUAUUAUGAUGAUUGUGUUGUGAUUAUUUUAUAUGUAUGUCCCCAGACCUUUACGUAAUCUAAACGUGAGAGAAAAUGGCAGAUUAUUUUUGUGAAGGGAUGGUUUUGUUUUUACAAACUUACAUUUGUCGAUAUAUUAAAUAAAUCCAGUAUUGUGUUUGAAA
This is a long non-coding RNA of Nerophis ophidion (straightnose pipefish), 2589 nucleotides long. RefSeq lists it as uncharacterized. The transcript has 4 exons. NCBI's taxonomy places the organism in Eukaryota, Metazoa, Chordata, Actinopteri, Syngnathiformes, Syngnathidae. The record is from RefSeq and is a predicted model, not a curated record.